RNAcentral lists this ribosomal RNA (253 nucleotides) under uncultured bacterium. Its description in RNAcentral is "partial 16S ribosomal RNA". It matches the Rfam family "Bacterial small subunit ribosomal RNA", at positions 524 to 776 of the family's 1533-position model. The record is from RNAcentral.
GACGUAGGAGGCGAGCGUUGUCCGGAUUCAUUGGGCGUAAAGAACACGCAGGCGGUUUGGCAAGUCGGAUGUGAAAACCCGGAGCUCAACUCCGGACCUGCAUCCGAAACUGCCCGACUAGAGGUAGGUAGGGGAGAUCGGAAUUCCUGGUGUAGCGGUGAAAUGCGCAGAUAUCAGGAGGAACACCGGUGGCGAAGGCGGCGCUCUGGGCCGGUACUGACACUGAGGAGCGAAAGCGUGGGUAGCAAACAGG